This is a non-coding RNA of Desulfuromonas sp. DDH964, 174 nucleotides long. Lineage: Bacteria; Pseudomonadati; Thermodesulfobacteriota; Desulfuromonadia; Desulfuromonadales; Desulfuromonadaceae. The record is from Rfam.
UCCAUCGCGAGGUGGAAUCUGAAGGAAGCCGCAGGCAAAAUCCCGGUCCGACGAACAGAAACCGCAUGAGGCAGUCUCAUCCGGGCGAGAAGGCCAAUAUCUUCAAAGCCCGAUAGCCAUCCGGGAGGGUGGGGCUGUAGAUGCGGCGGGUAGAUGGGAGGAAGGUCACGCGCA